This 432-nucleotide long non-coding RNA is filed under the name Nannospalax galili (Upper Galilee mountains blind mole rat). Its description in RNAcentral is "lncRNA (ENSNGAG00000024456.1)". The record is from RNAcentral. Lineage: Eukaryota; Metazoa; Chordata; Mammalia; Rodentia; Spalacidae.
AUGCGCCACCACGCUUGGCCCAAAAUGGGCUAUUCUUUACUGUUGCUUCUGUUAACCAUCAGAAGAGUCACUGGUCUAGGAGUCAGUUUUUAUAUUACUAUCGAGACUUGGAAGGCUCAGGUGCCACCAGGCAGGAAGUGUAAGUUUGGAGCCCCAUCCCCUAAUGACUCCCAUGGCCUCCAGGAAGCGAUACCUCAGACGAAGGGCAGCUCUAGGACACCUGAACACUGUCUUACUGGUGGCCAGGCCCCUGCUCCAAAGACGGCUGAAGCUACAGCUUAGGCAUUCGGGUGGCUCUCACAGCUUGGAGGCCUGGGAAAAAGUGCCAAGCAUGGUAGGUGUUCUGGAAGCAGGGGGUCUUGUGCAGGGUGUGAACCCCUGAGCUUGGCACAGCUUAGGGGAGGGUGGAGCUCACAAGGUGCCAUCGGGGUC